GCCCAUGUAGCUCAGUUGGCAGAGCACGCCCUUGGUAAGGGCGAGGUCUCCGGUUCAAGCCCGGACAUGGGCUCCA
Molecule: transfer RNA, 76 nt
Filed under: Candidatus Rokuibacteriota bacterium
Lineage: Bacteria; Candidatus Rokuibacteriota
Also listed under: 3 other names
Description: tRNA-Thr
Rfam family: tRNA
About the family: Transfer RNA (tRNA) molecules are approximately 80 nucleotides in length.
Source: RNAcentral